GUCGAAACUUAGUGUUCGAGGUUCCGAAGUACGUUUUGAGUCUCAGAAAAUCAUCGUUUGACUUAUUGUGGAACCCGAUCAUUUUGGAUUUGUAUGGAUUUGAUUGAUUGACUCUUGGUGAGGAAUUUUAAAAUAAGCUAAGGACCUAAGGUGUGGCUUUAGCUGUUGAGCAACUUGUGGAGCACGGACUCAGUAGCAAUGCAAUAAUGGUUUUAGAGUUUUCAUAUGGCUGCCUUAAAUUUAAAGUAUUCAUACGUGUAAUAAUUUCUUCUAAUAAGUUUAUAUAAAAGUUUUAAAUUUUUCUGUAUUUCUUCGUAUCAUUUUAUUUAAUUCUUUUGGUCAAGUGCCUUACAUACUCGUAAACCCUAGAAUUACGAGUAUGUGGCAGACGUACCCUACCUUAGGGACGUUACAUAAUGGUAUCAGAGCCUUGACCCAGCCGGAAGUGUGGCCGACAGGGACGUCGGGCCCGUAAGGGGGGGUGAUUGUGACAGUCAGAAUCCCGUGAUCCGUAAGGGGAAAUACCGGGUAAGCUGUGCAAUCCCACACCGCCUGGGGAAGGUCAAGUGUAAUGAUUCUAAGACUGUGUAGGUAUGGGACUACACAGUUGAAGAAGGCUUAAAUGGAUUGAUGUGUACUACCUAUAUCAGGAAGGUGCAUCUUCUUUU
Humulus lupulus (European hop) is the source of this 668-nucleotide long non-coding RNA. RefSeq lists it as uncharacterized. The transcript is spliced from 3 exons. The record is from RefSeq and is a predicted model, not a curated record. Lineage: Eukaryota; Viridiplantae; Streptophyta; Magnoliopsida; Rosales; Cannabaceae.